GAUGAAGAACGUAGCGAAAUGCGAUAAGUAGUGUGAAUUGCAGAAUUCAGUGAAUCAUCGAAUCUUUGAACUCACAUUGCGCCCCUUGGUAUUCCAUGGGGCAUGCCUGUUCGAGCGUCAUUUGUACCUUCAAGCUCUGCUUGGUGUUGGGUGUUUGUCUCGCCUCUGCGUGUAGACUCGCCUCAAAACAAUUGGCAGCCGGCGUAUUGAUUUCGGAGCGCAGUACAUCUAGCGCUUUGCACUCAUAACGACGACGUCCAAAAGUACAUUUUUACACUCUUGACCUCAGAUCAGGUAGGGAUACCCGCUGAACUUAAGCAUAUCAAUAAGCGGAGGA
RNAcentral lists this unclassified non-coding RNA (337 nucleotides) under soil metagenome. RNAcentral describes it as "partial contains 5.8S ribosomal RNA, internal transcribed spacer 2, and large subunit ribosomal RNA". The stretch from base 1 to 120 matches the Rfam family "5.8S ribosomal RNA", at positions 35 to 154 of the family's 154-position model. The record is from RNAcentral.